UACAGGGGGGGCAAGCGUUGUUCGGAAUUACUGGGCGUAAAGGGCUCGUAGGUGGCCAACUAAGUCAGACGUGAAAUCCCUCAGCUUAACUGGGGAACUGCGUCUGAUACUGGAUGGCUUGAGUUUGGGAGAGGGAUGCGGAAUUCCAGGUGUAGCGGUGAAAUGCGUAGAUAUCUGGAGGAACACCGGUGGCGAAGGCGGCAUCCUGGACCAACACUGACACUGAGGUGCGAAAGCGUGGGGAGCAAACAGG
Molecule: ribosomal RNA, 253 nt
Filed under: uncultured bacterium
Lineage: Bacteria
Description: partial 16S ribosomal RNA
Rfam family: Bacterial small subunit ribosomal RNA
Source: RNAcentral